This 73-nucleotide transfer RNA is filed under the name Stegodyphus mimosarum. It matches the Rfam family "tRNA". From Rfam's summary of the family: Transfer RNA (tRNA) molecules are approximately 80 nucleotides in length. Their secondary structure includes four short double-helical elements and three loops (D, anti-codon, and T loops). Lineage: Eukaryota; Metazoa; Arthropoda; Arachnida; Araneae; Eresidae. The record is from Rfam by way of RNAcentral.
GCCUUCGUGGUGUAAUGGUCAGCACACUCGGCGCGUAAUCGAGAGGUUCUUUGUUCGAAUCCCGGCGAGAGCA